Molecule: long non-coding RNA, 476 nt
Organism: Alosa sapidissima (American shad)
Lineage: Eukaryota; Metazoa; Chordata; Actinopteri; Clupeiformes; Clupeidae
Exons: 2
Source: RefSeq, a predicted model, not a curated record
GAAACCCUGAGGUGAGAACAACAUUACCAAUCAGUGAUCAAUGGACAACAAAUCAAUAAUGGAUUAAUGACAUUAUCAGUAGUAACCAAUAGAAAACAUGGACCCUAUUGACCUGAGGACGACAGUGCAUUAUCAAGGACAUUGAGGACAUGAAAACAAUGCCAAUGAUUGCCUAUGGGAAGCAGUACCUGGAGAUUACUGUACAUUCUGUGACAUGUUUAGUAAAUGUAGGAGUAUGAUGUUAUAUUAUAUAUGUUUUACGAUCAAAUUGGAAUAUUGUGUGAAAACAUGAAUACAUAAGCAAGAACAAUUGGGUCCAUUACCAUAUAUCCAAAGAAACAUAAUAGAAAUUCCAACGACAGACAGACAGACGCUAAUAUACAGACAAGCAGAACGAAAACAGACAGAUAGGCGAAUGGACGGACAAGUAGACAGACAGGCAGACAAAUACAUACAUACAGACAGGGAAAUAUACA